RNAcentral lists this ribosomal RNA (253 nucleotides) under uncultured prokaryote. RNAcentral describes it as "partial 16S ribosomal RNA". It matches the Rfam family "Bacterial small subunit ribosomal RNA", at positions 524 to 776 of the family's 1533-position model. The record is from RNAcentral.
GACAGAGGGGGCAAGCGUUGCUCGGAAUUACUGGGCGUAAAGCGUGCGCAGGCGGUUUUGUAAGUCUGUCGUGAAAUCCUCGGGCUCAACCUGAGAAUUGCGAUGGAGACUGCAAGGCUAGAAUCUGGCAGAGGGGGGUAGAAUUCCACGUGUAGCAGUGAAAUGCGUAGAGAUGUGGAGGAACACCGAUGGCGAAGGCAGCCCCCUGGGUCAAGAUUGACGCUCAUGCACGAAAGCGUGGGGAGCAAACAGG